Molecule: long non-coding RNA, 1318 nt
Organism: Teleopsis dalmanni
Lineage: Eukaryota; Metazoa; Arthropoda; Insecta; Diptera; Diopsidae
Exons: 4
Source: RefSeq, a predicted model, not a curated record
AAGGAAUAAAAUAAAAUGAAAAAUAAUAUGAAAUAAAAGCUAUGUGGAUUUGGAAAAAAAAGUUUUAAAUUUAAUUUGUGUGUACUUUUUUGGUUAGUUUUAUUGCACUUGCAGUGCUUGAAAUGUUUGCUUUAGGAGUCGGAAAAACAUGUGCUUCAACAAGUGUUUAACAAUUGAAAUGAAGCUAAAUGAUUGUUUUUAUAAUAUCAGCAAUGAUGAUAAGUUAUUUACAGGCAGCAUAAAAGAAACUUUAUUAAAAACUGUAUGGAAGAUUUACACAGAGGGGGAGUAGAAAUGGCAUUUACGUAUGUCAUCAGACAGCAUUAAAAAUAUGUUUAACGAAUGUGACACAUACAAUUUUCUACGCAAGGAUAAGCGCAAUUGGUUUACUGUUGAUGACACUUGCAGCUCUGGAGAUGUCGUUGAUGGUUUUGAUUAAUAACUUGACCAUCUUUUUGAGUUCUGUUUUUAAUGGAAAAAACGUAAUUUUUAGGAAUAGUAUUCUAGUAAACUACUAUACCAAUCUUUUAAAUAUUUGGAACAUAGAUUCGAGAAUAUGAUGUUAAGAAUUCCAUAAAAAAACUGAAUACAAAACAAAACAAAAAAACCAGAGGAAUAAUGGUUCUUUAGUGAAAAGGAUUAUUCUUAUGUAAUUGAUAAGUAAAAAUAGGUUGUGGCGAUGGUGCUCUCAUUGUUUUAAAUGUACUUGCCAAUCACAAGGAUGAUGUUGCAGACAAAUAUUAUACAAAUAUAUAAAGAUUAUAGAUGUAUUUUUAGGAUAGCUAUCAUCGAGCAGUCGUAGCAGUUGUAGCAGUGAAUUUUUUCAAUUUCAUUGCUAGCAGUACAAAUAAGAUUUUUUGUUUGUAUUGGAUUCUGCAUACCCAAAUCUUCAAAAUUUAACUACUUCAUAUAUAGAUAAUACGUAUUCUACAAGGGCAAGGAAAAACUAAGAAAAACAAGGGUAAACACAGUAUGGUUUCAUCAUUGUAUAUUAUGUACUGCAAAACAUUAUUAACAAAAUGAGUCUGCAAAAACGGUCGGCUCCACGUCCCGCACCGACUCGUCGCCAACGACGACCAAGUGCCGUACGACACCUCCCAAAGGGACUUCACAAGCAGGUCCCAGCGGGUUACAACAACAACAUUAUCAAAAUGAAUUGCAGUUUGCUUUUGAAACAACCAUAGAAGAGUACAAAUAUAAAAACAAUCAAUAUAAAAGUCUUAGAAGAAUUCGUUAAGGAAUGCUAUUCUAUAAUAAGUAUACAUGUGAAUGUUGAUUUCAAAUAAAAUUUGUACAUGUUUUUUAUUCAAAAAAUUAU